UACGUAGGGGGCAAGCGUUGUCCGGAAUCAUUGGGCGUAAAGAGCGUGUAGGCGGCCCGGUAAGUCCGCUGUGAAAGUCGGAGGCUCAACCUCCGAAUGCCGGCGGAUACUGUCGGGCUAGAGUCCGGAAGAGGCGAGUGGAAUUCCUGGUGUAGCGGUGAAAUGCGCAGAUAUCAGGAGGAACACCAACGGCGAAGGCAGCUCGCUGGGACGGUACUGACGCUGAGACGCGAAAGCGUGGGGAGCAAACAGG
RNAcentral lists this ribosomal RNA (253 nucleotides) under uncultured bacterium. Its description in RNAcentral is "partial 16S ribosomal RNA". It matches the Rfam family "Bacterial small subunit ribosomal RNA", at positions 524 to 776 of the family's 1533-position model. The record is from RNAcentral.